This is a non-coding RNA of Nothobranchius furzeri (turquoise killifish), 4156 nucleotides long. The record is from RefSeq and is a predicted model, not a curated record. NCBI's taxonomy places the organism in Eukaryota, Metazoa, Chordata, Actinopteri, Cyprinodontiformes, Nothobranchiidae.
GGGGGGGGGGGGGGAUUUGGUAUUGGUUUAUAUUAGAUUGGAAAAAGGUAGAAUGCCUUCUCCAGGUCAGGGAUGAGAUCAUGCUUCAAGUGGUAGAGUUUAAGUAUCUUGGGUUUGCACUGGUCCGUCAUGGUGAGAAGACAGCUGAACUGGUCACGAGCUUUGGGUAGUGACUGAAAUAACGAGAUCACUGAUACAAGUGGCAGAAAAGAGUUUUCUCCACAGGGUGUCUGGGCGCGCCGUAGAGAUAGGGUGAGAAACUCGGUCAUCCAGGAAGGGCUCAGAGUAGAUCUGCUCUUCCACAUCAAGAGGAGCCAGUUGAUGUAGCUCAUGCAUCUAGUUAGGAUGCCUCCUAAACUCCUCCCUGGUGAGGUUUUCCCGGCACGUUCAACCGGCAGACCUAAAGGAAGACCCAGGACACGCUGGAGGGCAGUGUUGUUUUAGUUGAUAUUGAUGACAAAUUUAUUUUGUUGACGCCCUUUUUUCACAUUACGAAAAAUAGAUGCUGACGAGCUAAAAAUACCUCUAUGGUGGCUAAAACAUGACAAGACAUGCAGAUGUUUUUGUUCACAAGACAAAAAUGAUGCUCAAAAUGCACAUUUCUGCCUAUCUCACAAAAGCUAAAAGUAACAGCACUGCUGUGGUCUGUGUCCCAGCUGCAGCGGCGGUGCACAUUCCGCUGCAGCUGGGACACAUUUCAGCUGAAUCUUCCAUUUUGUUUUACAGUCAGGCUGAUCGUUUCCUGCAAUGUGAUGACAAGCACCUUCUUGGCUGUGUCCACACUUCUUAAUGGGACAACAAAUCUCUUGUAAUAGAUAAUCAGGGAAGAGGAAUAUCAGUUACAAGAGAUUUGUUGUCAUCUUUGGUUUUGUUUAUAUUAAGUUUUAAAAUUCUUAAUAAAAAUAAAACUUUUCUCCAAAAAAUAUCAUCAAGACUUCAAAUAAAUAAUUCAACUUUUAAAAGGGUUGGCUUGUCUAAAACCACAAAAUCUUAGCACCUUGUGAAGCAGCGGCAUAUAGGAACAAGGUUAAAAAUGGGGGAGGGCGACAAAUUGGAAACCUGACAAUCUAUUAAAGGUCAACGUCACUAAAAAACAUUUUCAAUCAUUAUUUUUGAUUAUAAUCAGUCACUCUUGAGUCUUUUACCCGUUUUCUGCAAUAAAGUCCCAGUCAUCAUCACACACUGGUGAAAUUGCAUCUCUGUAUUUGACCCAUCCCCGUGGCCGCUCUCGGGAACUAUUUGGUGGUUUAGCUUCUGAUACAAAAUGGACUGUGGAAGGCUCGGAUUUGAAAAGCCUGACAGCUCUAUGUCACUUAACCAUAUUAACUCAUGUGAGACGUAGAGAAAGGUGAAAUAAAAUCCAUCAGCAUGGUUAACACAUUCACUGCUGUAGGCUGCACAUAUAGACUAAAGGACAGUAAAAUACACUUUUACAGGAUUCCAGCUGAAGGUAAUGGCUAACAGCCAUGAAGAAAGUUCGAAUGGAUGAUCCAUCCACAUUGUGGGAGCUAAAGUCUCAUGACAGAAAUUGGGGAGAAAAUGGUUGAGAAAUGGAUGACAAGCCUUUCUCCUGUUCUUUUGUGACUUGUUUAGAAGGAAGGAUGAGCCACACCUGUUCAGUUAAAGUCAAAAGCUUUUAUUACCCCAUGUGCAGAGUGGAGAAAUGAAAGGACGCCUGACUCCUAAUGCAUUUCUGGGGCACUCCCUACCAGAGACCUGGACACACAAAGACAUCAUCAUUUUUAGUUGGCCGCACCCUUAUCUGGUCACACCACCAGGUUCUUUGUUACAUUCUCGUUUCUAUCUUCCCUAUCUGCCUUCGUCCUUGAUGUGGUUCGGACUGUAGAACCUCCUACUGUUAACUCACUUUCUGGUAGCUACAAAGCCACAUUUUCUCAUGAACAAGCUGCAAGCUUGUUGUUCUGCAUUCCAUGAUGAUCUCAGCUGCACCUGCAGGUUCCUGGUAAGACGGAAGCACUCUAUUUUGUGUCUACAUGUUGCUGCAGACUAAAAUGCAUGUCAGUGGUAAAUGAAAGAUUAUUAAUAUUCAACUAAAUGUCUGUGGUAAAUAAAAAUAGGUGUAAGUAAAUGUAAUAAAUCAUGAGUAUUGAUGACGUAUCUGAGAGAAAAUCUUUAUUAUAAAACCCAACACAGAAUAAAAAAGUAAAGUAUAUGCCCUACACGUUCAGACACAAACAAGUUUUAGUUAAUGACCAUACUUUUGUAACUAAAUUAAUAUCUUCUUACAAAAUCACACACGUGUUCUGUAAUUGGAGUGGACAGCAUCUAAAGUUGUUUGUUUUGUGUUUACUGAGCUUUCAGGUAUGCCAAAUGUAGAAAAGUUAUUUAUUUGUAAACUAUUUGUCCCUACUGAGACCUGCCCACUUGUUCUUGUGUUGUGGGAGAGGGCUUUGACUUGGCAGCCUCUAAUGUCAUUCGUUUUGAGAGAAAAAAGAAAGAAAUCUCCAAAAUCAGCGUGUGUUUUACUAUUUACUCAAACAAAACUGGCCCUAAAAAAAUCAUCCAGUAAAGCUGAAUUUACAACAAAACACACUAAAAGGGGUCGACACUUUAGCAAAAGUUGACAUAAAAGCUUUUUAGCAUCAUCAUCAUCAUCAUCAUCAUCCUUCUCAGAUCUUUUUACUUCUGAAGCUACAUGAGGGUCUGUAUUUGUUGUGGCUGAACAAGUAGAACAAGGGCCAACAUAUGACAACAUUUUCUAUCUGUCUUUUUAAAAAUACUCUAUCGUAUCCCAGUUUUGUUUGUCAUUUUUUUGCAUCACAUUUUGAAAAAAAACAAGAGUGGUUUUGUUUUAAUCCCCAAAAGUCGAACUAAAAAUUCAUUCAAACAUGCAGCAUAUGUCUACUUUUGUAAAUCCUACCGGUUGUUAAAGCUGUUGUUAAUCACAGAGCUUACAUCACCACCUUGUGUUCAGCAGUGAGUUUGCAUGUUGUCUUUGCAUUUAACAUUUGACUAUUGUGAGAUUAAAAGGAACGUGGCAUGAGAACCUGGAGAAGUACACAAGAGCAUUUAUUCUAGAACUAGAGAAUUCAAGUAUUUGCUUUGUAUUGUAUGUGUUACUGAUGCAAACAAGAGAGACUUGGCAAGAGCUACCCAACGUGAGCAAACUGAAGUCGUCCCACCGCUGCUUAUGUAGCAGACCAGGAUGGUUCUAACCCUAACCAACCUCAACUGGACCCACUUCUCGGACCCCUCCGCCUGUAGCUGUGAUUGGUGGAUGACAAGCCUGGCCUGAACAAGAUGAUGCUGGAGAGAAGAUGCCAGAAAGACCAGGCUAAAUAAGGAUGUGUAGCACUCAUGCUGCAUGUCACGGCCAUCAGACUUGAUGUUAUUGGUUGUAUCUGUGGUUCUGAAGAGAAGGCAGCAUAACAUGGCCAAACUCACUUCUAUUGAACUGCAGGAGAGGAGCUCCAGAUGGAAAGGUCUACAAGUGGACCUCUUUCUGCAUGGAGUUUGCAUGUUCUCCCUGUGCAUGCGUGAGUUCUCUCCAGGUGCGCUGGCUUCCUCCCAAAGUCCAAAAACAUGACUGUUAGGUCUUGGUCUCUCUAGAUUGUCCUUAGGUGUGAGUGUGUGUGUGUGCUUGGUUGUAUGUCUCUGUGUUGCCCUGCGAUGGAUUGGCAGUCUAUCCAGGGUGUACACCGCCUGAAUGCCUGGAGACCAGGGGCGGCGUUAGGCCCGGCUACAUGGGCUCAAGCCCCGAAUAAUUAAUGAAAAGCCCCGGAUCUCAAACGUGGAAGUAACCUGCAGUACAAAAGUCCAACAGAGAGGGAGCAGCUGGCAGUAGCUUGUAUACAGCCUGCCUGAGCCUCCACCACUGAAGAAGAAGCCCUUCAGCAGCCGGCUUCUUCUAUACUCUCUGCCUGAAACGCAUGAGUGAAGAUGGAAUAAGGACGUUUUUUAAGUACCGCGACAGAACCCCAGCUUUGAUGAGACUGGUGUUGACUCAGGUUUGUGAGUCUUAUUUGAAAAUAUUUGUGCUGCUGGUUUGCCUAAAGUUAGCUUACUAUCAGGUAAAGUUGUUGGAGAAAGAAAGGGAAUAUUUACUAUCAUCUCACACUAAACACUAACAGGAACAAUAUUCUGCCCUGAAAAUGCUUAAUAUGUAGCUUCAGAUUAAAAAUUAUGUGGUACACGA